This 468-nucleotide ribosomal RNA is filed under the name uncultured bacterium. RNAcentral describes it as "partial 16S ribosomal RNA". It matches the Rfam family "Bacterial small subunit ribosomal RNA", at positions 28 to 507 of the family's 1533-position model. The record is from RNAcentral.
GACGAACGCUGGCGGCGUGCUUAACACAUGCAAGUCGAACGGAAAGGCCCUGCUUUUGUGGGGUGCUCGAGUGGCGAACGGGUGAGUAACACGUGAGUAACCUGCCCUUGACUUUGGGAUAACUUCAGGAAACUGGGGCUAAUACCGGAUAGGAGCUCCUGCUGCAUGGUGGGGGUUGGAAAGUUUCGGCGGUUGGGGAUGGACUCGCGGCUUAUCAGCUUGUUGGUGGGGUAGUGGCUUACCAAGGAUUUGACGGGUAGCCGGCCUGAGAGGGUGACCGGCCACAUUGGGACUGAGAUACGGCCCAGACUACUACGGGAGGCAGCAGUGGGGAAUAUUGCACAAUGGGCGGAAGCCUGAUGCAGCAACGCCGCGUGCGGGAUGACGGCCUUCGGGUUGUAAACCGCUUUCGCCUGUGACGAAGCGUGAGUGACGGUAAUGGGUAAAGAAGCACCGGCUAACUACGUG